This is a long non-coding RNA of Astatotilapia calliptera (eastern happy), 849 nucleotides long. Lineage: Eukaryota; Metazoa; Chordata; Actinopteri; Cichliformes; Cichlidae. The record is from Ensembl.
UGGAAGAAAAAGUGCUGCUUCUCUCUCAUCGGUGGCUAUGAUAACAUGGGAAACGCACUGGGCCACUGGAUUAAGCAUGGAGAUCGAGUGUAUGAAGAUCAGUGUAAAAUACUAAUACAACAAAAUAUACACCUGGUCAGGCUCAGGCAAUCAAUACCAGCCGUGGCCCUGAAGGAGAACCCUGACAGCCGCUACUCCGGAUCCAUGCCAUUCCGGCUACUGCCCCACCAUCAGUCAACCUCAUACCACACAUACAAGAUGGAUAGACUUACCUACACAUAAAUAGCAUAUUUACACACGUAGAGUUAAGAAAAGAAAAUGAGAACUGAGCCACUGGAAGAGAACAGUGACGAUAACAACAAAUGAUGCUGUCAGAUACUGUUACAGGGUUAUGUCAAGUAAAAACUGUCUAUAAUAAUUAAUAAUAUGAAAUGUGUAUUUUAUCAGUGGCUCAGUAGCACAACGUUUAGCACUGUUGCCUCACAGUAAGAAGUUUCUGAGACUGACUCCACUAUCUGGCCGGGACCUUUCUGUGUGGAGUUUGCAUCUUCUCCCCUUGUUUGUGUGAGUACUCUUAAGGUACUCCAGCUUCCUCCCACGGUGGAAAAAAAUGAAGUUAGGUUAGGUUAAUUGGUAAUUCUAAAUUGCCCAUUAAUAAGUAUCUGUCUGUCUGUGUUAGUCCUGACAGACUGGCGACCUGUUGAGGGUAUACCCUGCCUCUUCCCCUAUGAUAGCUGGGUUAGGUUCCUCUACCACAGACAGAAUAGAUGAAUGGAUUUUAUCUUUGUCUCUAGUAGUUGAAGUGCUGUGUAUACCCAAAAUUAAUAAAUUACUGUAUUUCAUCACACC